UGGGGAAUUUGGACAAUGGGCGAAAGCCUGAUCCAGCAAUGCCGCGUGUGUGAAGAAGGCCUUCGGGUUGUAAAGCACUUUUGUCCGGAAAGAAAUCCUUGGCUCUAAUACAGUCGGGGGAUGACGGUACCGGAAGAAUAAGCACCGGCUAACUACGUGCCAGCAGCCGCGGUAAUACGUAGGGUGCAAGCGUUAAUCGGAAUUACUGGGCGUAAAGCGUGCGCAGGCGGUUUGCUAAGACCGAUGUGAAAUCCCCGGGCUCAACCUGGGAACUGCAUUGGUGACUGGCAGGCUAGAGUAUGGCAGAGGGGGGUAGAAUUCCACGUGUAGCAGUGAAAUGCGUAGAGAUGUGGAGGAAUACCGAUGGCGAAGGCAGCCCCCUGGGCCAAUACUGACGCUCAUGCACGAAAGCGUGGGGAGCAAACAGGAUUAGAUACCCUGGUAGUCCACGCCCUAAACGAUGUCAACUAGUUGUUGGGGAUUCAUUUCCUUAGUAACGUAGCUAACGCGUGAAGUUGACCGCCUGGGGAGUACGGUCGCAAGAUUAAAACUUAAAGGAAUUGACGGGGUCAUAGCUGUUUCCU
RNAcentral lists this ribosomal RNA (584 nucleotides) under uncultured bacterium. Its description in RNAcentral is "partial 16S ribosomal RNA". It matches the Rfam family "Bacterial small subunit ribosomal RNA", at positions 356 to 1375 of the family's 1533-position model. The record is from RNAcentral.